UACAGGGGGGGCAAGCGUUGUUCGGAAUUACUGGGCGUAAAGGGGUUGUAGGUGGCCACUUAAGUCAGACGUGAAAUCCCUCAGCUUAACUGGGGAACUGCGUCUGAUACUGCGUGGCUUGAGUGCAGGAGAGGAACGCGGAAUUCCAGGUGUAGCGGUGAAAUGCGUAGAUAUCUGGAGGAACACCGGUGGCGAAGGCGGCGUUCUGGACUGUAACUGACACUGAAAAACGAAAGCCAGGGGAGCAAACGGG
This 253-nucleotide ribosomal RNA is filed under the name uncultured bacterium. Its description in RNAcentral is "partial 16S ribosomal RNA". It matches the Rfam family "Bacterial small subunit ribosomal RNA", at positions 524 to 776 of the family's 1533-position model. The record is from RNAcentral.